AUUGAACGCUGGCGGCAGGCCUAACACAUGCAAGUCGAGCGGAUGAAGGGAGCUUGCUCCUGGAUUCAGCGGCGGACGGGUGAGUAAUGCCUAGGAAUCUGCCUGGUAGUGGGGGAUAACGUCCGGAAACGGGCGCUAAUACCGCAUACGUCCUGCGGGAGAAAGUGGGGGAUCUUCGGACCUCACGCUAUCAGAUGAGCCUAGGUCGGAUUAGCUAGUUGGUGGGGUAAAGGCCUACCAAGGCGACGAUCCGUAACUGGUCUGAGAGGAUGAUCAGUCACACUGGAACGGAGACACGGUCCAGACUCCUAAGGGAGGCAGCAGUGGGGAAUAUUAGACAAUGGGCGAAAGCCUGAUCCAGCCAUGCCGAGUGUGUGAAGAAGGUCUUCGGAUUGUAAAGCCCUUUAAGUUGGGAGGAAGCGCAGUAAGUUAAUACCUUGCUGUUUUGACGGUACCAACAGAAUAAGCACCGGCUAACUUCGUG
RNAcentral lists this ribosomal RNA (484 nucleotides) under uncultured bacterium. RNAcentral's name for it is "partial 16S ribosomal RNA". It matches the Rfam family "Bacterial small subunit ribosomal RNA", at positions 30 to 507 of the family's 1533-position model. The record is from RNAcentral.